Molecule: RNase P RNA, 442 nt
Filed under: Roseicella aerolata
Lineage: Bacteria; Pseudomonadati; Pseudomonadota; Alphaproteobacteria; Acetobacterales; Roseomonadaceae
Description: Bacterial RNase P class A
Rfam family: Bacterial RNase P class A
About the family: Ribonuclease P (RNase P) is a ubiquitous endoribonuclease, found in archaea, bacteria and eukarya as well as chloroplasts and mitochondria. Its best characterised activity is the generation of mature 5'-ends of tRNAs by cleaving the 5'-leader elements of precursor-tRNAs. Cellular RNase Ps are ribonucleoproteins.
Source: Rfam by way of RNAcentral
CCAGGUGGCCAGACGACCGCUGGCCCUCGCCGCGAGGCGAGGGCUGGAGGAAAGUCCGGGCUCCACGGGAACACGGUGCCGGCCAACGGCCGGCGGGCAGAGGAAAGCCGGCGGUCCGCCGCCGGCGGCCCAAGGCCCAGGGAAAGUGCCACAGAGAGCAGACCGCCCGCGCGCCGCAAGGUCCGCGGGCAAGGGUGAAAGGGUGCGGUAAGAGCGCACCGCGCCCCCGGCAACGGGGGCGGCAUGGCAAACCCCACCGGGAGCAAGGCCGAAUAGGGGUGGCCGGCGGCGGUCCUUCGGGGCCGUGACGCAAGGGCGUUCCCGCCCCGCCACCCGGGUUGGCCGCGUGAGGCGCGCCGCAAGGCGCGUCCCAGAGGAAUGGUCGUCCCAUCCCCGGGAUUCCCGGGGUGGACAGAACCCGGCUUACCGGCCGCCUGGCGCC